GGGCCUAUAGUGAAGCGGCAUCACGCGUCCAUGGCAUGGACGAAGUCGGGGUUCGACUCCCCGUAGGUCCACCA
RNAcentral lists this transfer RNA (74 nucleotides) under bacterium. RNAcentral describes it as "tRNA-Ala". It matches the Rfam family "tRNA". From Rfam's summary of the family: Transfer RNA (tRNA) molecules are approximately 80 nucleotides in length. The record is from RNAcentral.